UUACUUUUAUGAUUUUUGAUUUCCCUCACAGAUGAACGCUGGCGGCGUGCCUAAUACAUGCAAGUCGAACGCACAGCGAAAGGUGCUUGCACCUUUUCAAGUGAGUGGCGAACGGGUGAGUAACACGUGGACAACCUGCCUCAAGGCUGGGGAUAACAUUUGGAAACAGAUGCUAAUACCGAAUAAAACUUAGUGUCGCAUGACACAAAGUUAAAAGGCGCUUCGGCGUCACCUAGAGAUGGAUCCGCGGUGCAUUAGUUAGUUGGUGGGGUAAAGGCCUACCAAGACAAUGAUGCAUAGCCGAGUUGAGAGACUGAUCGGCCACAUUGGGACUGAGACACGGCCCAAACUCCUACGGGAGGCUGCAGUAGGGAAUCUUCCACAAUGGGCGAAAGCCUGAUGGAGCAACGCCGCGUGUGUGAUGAAGGCUUUCGGGUCGUAAAGCACUGUUGUAUGGGAAGAACAGCUAGAAUAGGAAAUGAUUUUAGUUUGACGGUACCAUACCAGAAAGGGACGGCUAAAUACGUGCCAGCAGCCGCGGUAAUACGUAUGUCCCGAGCGUUAUCCGGAUUUAUUGGGCGUAAAGCGAGCGCAGACGGUUUAUUAAGUCUGAUGUGAAAGCCCGGAGCUCAACUCCGGAAUGGCAUUGGAAACUGGUUAACUUGAGUGCAGUAGAGGUAAGUGGAACUCCAUGUGUAGCGGUGGAAUGCGUAGAUAUAUGGAAGAACACCAGUGGCGAAGGCGGCUUACUGGACUGCAACUGACGUUGAGGCUCGAAAGUGUGGGUAGCAAACAGGAUUAGAUACCCUGGUAGUCCACACCGUAAACGAUGAACACUAGGUGUUAGGAGGUUUCCGCCUCUUAGUGCCGAAGCUAACGCAUUAAGUGUCCGC
Molecule: ribosomal RNA, 893 nt
Filed under: Leuconostoc mesenteroides
Lineage: Bacteria; Bacillati; Bacillota; Bacilli; Lactobacillales; Lactobacillaceae
Description: bacterial SSU rRNA
Rfam family: Bacterial small subunit ribosomal RNA
Source: RNAcentral